RNAcentral lists this unclassified non-coding RNA (283 nucleotides) under plant metagenome. RNAcentral describes it as "partial contains small subunit ribosomal RNA, internal transcribed spacer 1, and 5.8S ribosomal RNA". The stretch from base 1 to 52 matches the Rfam family "Eukaryotic small subunit ribosomal RNA", at positions 1780 to 1831 of the family's 1831-position model. The record is from RNAcentral.
GGAAAAAAGUCGUAACAAGGUUUCCGUAGGUGAACCUGCGGAAGGAUCAUUAUUGUAUAACCGAGGUGCGAGGGCUGUCGCUGACCCGAAAGGUCGUGCACGCCCGAGUGCCCUCACACACAUCCAUCUCACCCCUAUGUGCACCACCGCGUGGGUCCCCCUUUGGCUUGUUCGGAGGGGGGCUUACGUUUUCACACAAACUUUGUAUGCAGUGUAGAAUGUAUUUUUUGUUUUUGCGAUCACGCAAUUAAUACAACUUUCAACAACGGAUCUCUUGGCUCUC